AGGCCAGACAUCAGAGUAGAAUAAAGCGGCCUUGGUCAGAAGUGGACUGUGCCAUGCCCUGUACCGUGGAGACAAAAGAGGAUUCAGAGAGAGGCGCUUCUUCAAGAACAGCUACCAAAGGCUCCAUUUGUUUGGAAUCUCUGCCUCCUGGUGAAAAGCCUGCUGAUCGUAUAAAGAAGUCUAAAGCGAAGUUAAGGGAAGAUUUUGCUCUUCAAAGAGACCGAGAGGCAUUCCUGAAUAUAGCAGAAGAGGACGGUCUUCUCACAAAGGGCGAGUGUUUAUGCCUGAGUCAGAUGAAUGAUGCACAGGAGUUUGUGGAGAGCCUGGUCAACACGGUGCUGG
Lacerta agilis (Sand lizard) is the source of this 342-nucleotide long non-coding RNA. RefSeq lists it as uncharacterized. NCBI's taxonomy places the organism in Eukaryota, Metazoa, Chordata, Lepidosauria, Squamata, Lacertidae. The record is from RefSeq and is a predicted model, not a curated record. The transcript is spliced from 2 exons.